AUAACUGAAAACAUAAAGAAACCCCCUACUAGAGCCCUCAUCAACUCUAGCCGGGUCAACAUAACAUACAUCAAGCUGGGAUCACAUCCAAAGAGCUAGAACCUAACCUGUGCAUGCAUCAAACCACAAACAUAAGACCUCCACUAGGGUCCUCAUCAAACACUAGCGUGGUAAACAACACAUGCCACCAGUUUAGUCCAAACAC
RNAcentral lists this long non-coding RNA (205 nucleotides) under Manihot esculenta (cassava). RNAcentral's name for it is "long non-coding RNA (MESC_LNC009306)". The record is from RNAcentral. Lineage: Eukaryota; Viridiplantae; Streptophyta; Magnoliopsida; Malpighiales; Euphorbiaceae.